RNAcentral lists this ribosomal RNA (441 nucleotides) under uncultured beta proteobacterium. Its description in RNAcentral is "bacterial SSU rRNA". It matches the Rfam family "Bacterial small subunit ribosomal RNA", at positions 969 to 1412 of the family's 1533-position model. Lineage: Bacteria; Pseudomonadati; Pseudomonadota; Betaproteobacteria. The record is from RNAcentral.
CCUUACCUACCCUUGACAUGUCUGGAAUCCCGAAGAGAUUUGGGAGUUGCUCGCAAGAGAACCGGAACACAGGUGCUGCAUGGCUGUCGUCAGCUCGUGUCGUGAGAUGUUGGGUUAAGUCCCGCAACGAGCGCAACCCUUGUCAUUAGUUGCUACGAAAGGGCACUCUAAUGAGACUGCCGGUGACAAACCGGAGGAAGGUGGGGAUGACGUCAAGUCCUCAUGGCCCUUAUGGGUAGGGCUUCACACGUCAUACAAUGGUCGGGACAGAGGGUCGCCAACCCGCGAGGGGGAGCCAAUCCCAGAAACCCGAUCGUAGUCCGGAUCGUAGUCUGCAACUCGACUACGUGAAGUCGGAAUCGCUAGUAAUCGCGGAUCAAGCAUGCCGCGGUGAAUACGUUCCCGGGUCUUGUACACACCGCCCGUCACACCAUGGGAGUG